RNAcentral lists this unclassified non-coding RNA (213 nucleotides) under fungal sp. Its description in RNAcentral is "partial internal transcribed spacer region". The stretch from base 1 to 46 matches the Rfam family "Eukaryotic small subunit ribosomal RNA", at positions 1786 to 1831 of the family's 1831-position model. Lineage: Eukaryota; Fungi. The record is from RNAcentral.
AAGUCGUAACAAGGUAACCGUAGGUGAACCUGCGGUUGGAUCAUUGAUUUAUUCAGAGUAUCCUGUAACCUGUGAAAAAUUAUACUAAGCUGCUUAGUAUUCGUCACUGUCAAAGAGUUCUGCGACAUACUGAACCAAUAUGUGAAUCAAACUGUAACCAAUUUCUUUAAACCUAACAAAUUACAACUUCUGACAAUGGAUCUCUUGAGUCCU